This 378-nucleotide unclassified non-coding RNA is filed under the name plant metagenome. RNAcentral describes it as "partial contains 5.8S ribosomal RNA, internal transcribed spacer 2, and large subunit ribosomal RNA". The stretch from base 1 to 105 matches the Rfam family "5.8S ribosomal RNA", at positions 50 to 154 of the family's 154-position model. The record is from RNAcentral.
GAAAUGCGAUAAGUAAUGUGAAUUGCAGAAUUCAGUAAAUCAUCGAAUCUUUGAACGCACCUUGCGCUCCUUGGUAUUCCUUGGAGCAUGCCUGUUUGAGUAUCAUGAAAUCUUCAAAGUAAAUCUUUUGUUAACUCAAUUGGUUUCUACUUUGGUAUUGGAGGUCUUUGCAGCUUCACACCUGCUCCUCUUUGUUCAUUAGCUGGAUCUCAGUGUUAUGCUUGGUUCCACUCGGCGUGAUAAGUUAUCUAUCGCUGAGGACACUGUAAAAGGUGGCCAAGGUAAAUGCAAAUGAACCGCUUCUAAUAGUCCAUUGACUUGGACAAUACUUUUAUGAUCUGAUCUCAAAUCAGGUAGGACUACCCGCUGAACUUAAGC